CAGAUAGCACUGAACGUCUUGCCGACGUUGGCAAUUGGAGGGCACCAGCGGCAAAGUAUCGGGAGGGGAUUUUCCCCUGCACAACAAAAAACUUUGGUGGGUAAACCAUCGGCGGGCCGCGGGAUGAAUAGCCACUUUAAAUGCACAACUCCGGAGAUCGGUGGAGGAACCGUGAUGAACCAUUUUGCCGAUCCCGCUUCUAUUUUUUUAAAUAAAUAAUAUCUGCGCAACCGUUGGUCCACAUCAAGACCUUCACGCGCGUGCACACGUUUUUAUGACGGUGCGCUAUGCGCGUGAGUGAUCUCAGCAUCGUCUACACUACAGCCUACAGCUAAGUCUACAGCAACGGACUCUGAGCUACAUACACCCCAAAGGCUCUUUUCAGAGCCCAGGCCCAUUUUGCACAGCGUCUUUGCCUUUGUACAGUAAGUAUGUGUUUUAAUUGACCUCAAAGACAACUGAAACACUAUCUUUAACUAAUCUAGUUAAAAGUUAUUUUGCACAUGAUUUCCAUUACACGAGAGUAGAUGUUAAAACUUCAUGCAGAUUUGUACUCGGCUUUCGCCAAGAUUAGCACAAACUAAGACGUAGCUUUAUAGUAAACUAUGCUUCUCCAUCCAUUUACACUUCUUUCCAUAUGUUGGUGUGACUCCCCUUCUGUCCGGCAUUACGGCUGGAACUACAGUAUGGUCUUCCCAGUGGACCAGCACCACAUCCAUCUGGAUUGAGACGAGUAGGGGACAUCUCUAGGGUCUUCACAUAUUGAUACACACACCAUUGCAACUUAGAUCACCAUCACCACCACCAUCCCCUGCAUCAGACACCCUAAAUCGUGCCCUUCAUCAGACACCCUACAGUAAAUGCACCACAAACAACACAGGCAAAGAAGAAGAAAACGCACGACAAAUCUCCUCCAGCCCAUCCCACAUCAUCGUAUAGUAAAGUGACGCCGCCGGAUAAUAAUGACGGCCUGUGUGCUUUGCAGCCUUUUCCAGGGAUCCUUCAGAGGACUAACAAUGGUGCUGUGUUAAGAAAUCCUACCCAACAAAAUUCCACUGAGGCAGAUGUAGAGAUGACUGCGAGAAACUGGCUGCGGCUGAGGAGGGACAGGAAGCAAGAGGGCGAGCAUCUUAAAGUGAAAUAAUUGAUUGGACUGAUUUUUCCUGUUUACCUAUUUUGGAGGGAAUUUCUUUUUGUUGUUGUUGUACUUUUCUAUGUGUGAUUUGAUGAGUGUUAAAAUAAAUGAUACUGCUUUUGCAAAAACAAAAGUAAAAAAUAAAUGUUCAAGGUCA
Pimephales promelas (fathead minnow) is the source of this 1292-nucleotide non-coding RNA. NCBI's taxonomy places the organism in Eukaryota, Metazoa, Chordata, Actinopteri, Cypriniformes, Leuciscidae. The record is from RefSeq and is a predicted model, not a curated record.